ACGCUGGCGGCGUGCUAAUACAUGCAAGUCGAACGAAACUUUCUUACACCGAAUGCUUGCAUUCACCGUAAGAAGUUGAGUGGCGGACGGGUGAGUAACACGUGGGUAACCUGCCUAAAAGAAGGGGAUAACACUUGGAAACAGGUGCUAAUACCGUAUAUCUCUAAGGAUCGCAUGAUCCUUAGAUGAAAGAUGGUUCUGCUAUCGCUUUUAGAUGGACCCGCGGCGUAUUAACUAGUUGGUGGGGUAACGGCCUACCAAGGUGAUGAUACGUAGCCGAACUGAGAGGUUGAUCGGCCACAUUGGGACUGAGACACGGCCCAAACUCCUACGGGAGGCAGCAGUAGGGAAUCUUCCACAAUGGACGCAAGUCUGAUGGAGCAACGCCGCGUGAGUGAAGAAGGUCUUCGGAUCGUAAAACUCUGUUGUUAGAGAAGAACACGAGUGAGAGUAACUGUUCAUUCGAUGACGGUAUCUAACCAGCAAGUCACGGCUAACUACGUGCCAGCAGCCGCGGUAAUACGUAGGUGGCAAGCGUUGUCCGGAUUUAUUGGGCGUAAAGGGAACGCAGGCGGUCUUUUAAGUCUGAUGUGAAAGCCUUCGGCUUAACCGGAGUAGUGCAUUGGAAACUGGAAGACUUGAGUGCAGAAGAGGAGAGUGGAACUCCAUGUGUAGCGGUGAAAUGCGUAGAUAUAUGGAAGAACACCAGUGGCGAAAGCGGCUCUCUGGUCUGUAACUGACGCUGAGGUUCGAAAGCGUGGGUAGCAACAGGAUA
RNAcentral lists this ribosomal RNA (775 nucleotides) under Ligilactobacillus salivarius. RNAcentral's name for it is "bacterial SSU rRNA". It matches the Rfam family "Bacterial small subunit ribosomal RNA", at positions 33 to 779 of the family's 1533-position model. The record is from RNAcentral. Lineage: Bacteria; Bacillati; Bacillota; Bacilli; Lactobacillales; Lactobacillaceae.